Molecule: long non-coding RNA, 533 nt
Filed under: Homo sapiens (human)
Lineage: Eukaryota; Metazoa; Chordata; Mammalia; Primates; Hominidae
Description: non-protein coding lnc-MAD2L1-3:1
Source: RNAcentral
UAUAACAACUGUUUUUUGUUUCAUAAUUUGAACAUCUAGAUCACCUUAAAGUUGGCCUCAAUUGCAAAUUUAUAGUAAUUUUUCUCAUUUCUUUUUUACGGUCUAUAACCAUAGUGAUAACAAAUUCAGACACAACAAAUGACAUAAUCGACAUGUCACUACUAAAGCUAGGAAUAACUGUAAGUUAUCUAUAAGUUAUUUUUGUUAAAAACCAACUUUGAUUUUUGAAUUUAAAGAGUGACAUUCAGAUGGACAGAAACAAGAAAAUACUUGUAUAAAAAGAAGAAUGUAAUCUUGUCUUGAAGACAGCAAGUGGUUUUAGGUGUGGGAUUGGGGAGAUUAAUUAAAAAUAAAAUGUAGCUUAAUUUAUUUCAGGUUUGUGAUUUUCCUUUUUUAAAAAAUUAAGGGUGCUGAGAAAGAUUACCAGUUAUGGGUCAGGUCUGGCAAAAAAGAGUCCCCAUCCCCACUUUCCUAAGUGUCAAGGAAAAUCUAAAAUGAGAUUGAUUGGGUUCGAAAUUGUAACUCUAAAGUCU